AUUCCAGCUCCAAUAGCGUAUAUUUUAGUUGUUGCAGUUAAAAAGCUCGUAGUUGAAUUUCUGGUGGGAAGAUGCGGACGGCCUCAUGGCUUGUUCCAAGUCUUCCGGCCAUCCUUGGGUGGAGCUCGUCUGGCAUUAAGUUGUCGGGCGGGGGAUGCCCAUCGUUUACUGUGAAAAAAUUAAAGUGUUCAAAGCAGACUUAUGUCGUUGAAUAUAUUAGCAUGGAAUAAUAAGAUAGGACAGCAGUGCUAUUUUGUUGGUUUGCGCACCGUUGUAAUGAUGAAUAGGGACAGUUGUGGGUAUUUAUACUCACUUGUAAGAGGUGAAAUUCUUAGAUUAAGGGAAGAUAAACUACUGCGAAAGCAUUUACCAAGGAUGUUUUCAUUG
Molecule: ribosomal RNA, 387 nt
Filed under: Chaetoceros sp.
Lineage: Eukaryota; Bacillariophyta; Thalassiosirophyceae; Chaetocerotales; Chaetocerotaceae
Description: partial small subunit ribosomal RNA
Rfam family: Eukaryotic small subunit ribosomal RNA
Source: RNAcentral